CCCGAGAUGGGGACAACCUUCCGAAAGGAGGGCUAAUACCGAAUGAGACCACAGUGACACAUGUCACAGGGGUUAAAGGUGGCCUCUAUUUAUAAGCUAUCACUUGGAGAUGGGCUCAUGCACCAUUAGCUAGUUGGUGAGGUAACGGCUCACCAAAGCUACGAUGGUUAGCUGAUCUGAGAGGUUGAUCAGCCACACUGGAACUGAGACACGGUCCAG
RNAcentral lists this ribosomal RNA (219 nucleotides) under uncultured bacterium. Its description in RNAcentral is "partial 16S ribosomal RNA". It matches the Rfam family "Bacterial small subunit ribosomal RNA", at positions 131 to 334 of the family's 1533-position model. The record is from RNAcentral.